Danio rerio (zebrafish) is the source of this 47-nucleotide non-coding RNA. NCBI's taxonomy places the organism in Eukaryota, Metazoa, Chordata, Actinopteri, Cypriniformes, Danionidae. The record is from Rfam.
CCAAAGGCUCUUUUAAGAGCCACCCAUCUGUCUCUGUAAAAGGCAAU